UUUUUUUUUUUAUAUAAAUAUUUUAUAUAAAUCAAUGUAAAUUUUCAUAGAUGAACAUUUUAAUAAAUAAAUUUUAAUUUUAAUUUUAAUUUUAAUUUUAAUUUUAAAAAGUUUAUGAUUUUAAUAUAACACAUCAUAGAUAGUAUUGAUGAUUAUAAUAUUGAUAGUAUUCACGUGUUUUUUAAAAAAAUUUAUUUAAAUUUUUUUGGGUAUGUAUAUUUUUAGUCUUUAUAUAUGUAAGUCGAUAAUUCUUGAAUAUCACACUUGCAUAGUACUUAAUUAUGUUCUCAAAAUAAUUAGACUAAAAAAAGAAAAUAAGAAGAUUGUGAGUUAUAAUCAACUUUAAAUUAAUUGAAACUUCAAUAAUAGUUAAUAGUGAUUAGUUUUUUGUUUUUUUUUUUAUCUUAAAAGAUAUAGUAAAUUUCACCAUAAUCAACUCAUACAAACGCGAGAUAAGACGUUAAUUUAACUUAACAAUAUCUACAUUUGUCAGUUGAGUUAGGGUUUAAAAAUUAAUGAUGAGUAGAUUCAUAGUUCAUAAUUUAUAAAAAUAUAAAUGUUUAAUAGCAUUUUAAAAAAACUCAUUUUAUUUUAUAACCUUAUAUAUAUUUUAUAACUUAAUUAUUUUGUGUUUUGUAUUUAUUCGAAUAAAAAGGCGGAUAAAAAUAAGACAUCAAUUCUAGCAGGCAAUGAAAUUGAAGAAACAAGUCCAAUCAAAAUCUUCCUUCACCAAACUUGUAAGUAUAUCGUUAUUGUAAUUUCUGUCGCGUUUUAUACUUCACAAAAAUUUUAAAAAUCAAUAUAAAAAAAUACGAGUAACGAAAAUUGAAACUACAAACUAUUUGAAAGGUGGAUCAACUCUUUAUUAAUUAAACUAACAUUAAUUAACUAAAUAUUUAUAAGUAAGUGACUUAGAAAGAGUUGCGAACCACUUUUUUUUUUUUUUGAAGAAGCAUAAGCAUAGCAUAAGACUUUGCAUGUGGUCAACGAUACAGGAUUCAACGCAAUUUGUGUACGCCACAUUUUGUGAACCAUGUCAUCUCUCCGACCACUUCAAUUCCAUGUAAAUAUGUGAGGCAAAGUCAACGUAUGCAGAUUAGUAUUACUAAAAUUUAUUUAAAGAACAAAAUAAAAUGAAUCGGUUCAAAACCUAAGAAGUACUUCUUACGGUACUACUCUCAUAAAUAAAUAAAAAGUCUCAAAUCUCAGUGAUUAUUAUAAAUAAAAAUUAAUUAUUGUUAAUUUAUUUAAUAUUAGUAUUUUUAAUAUAUUUUUGUUUUAAUAAAAAAUAUUUAAUAUAAAUAGUUGAAUGUAUGGCAUUAAAAAAAACAAUUUAGUAUUCAUGAAUUAUGUUUUACAUAAAUUUAAAAAAUUAAUUGUAUUAAAUUAAUUGUCUUAAUAACUGUAAAAAUAAUUAUUUAUAUUUAUAUUAGUGAUCGGAGAAAGUAAUCUGUUCGUUACAGAAUAAUUAUUUAAAUUAUUUAAUCAUUUUACACAUAUUAAAAAAGUAUAUAAAUAAAAGAUAAAUAAUAUUAUUUUUAACAAGUUAUUCUUGUUAGAUAAUUAUAUAUUAUCAAUAUCAUAAAUACAUAAUAAAAAAUAUUGUAAUAUAAAUAAUAUAAGUAGUACUAAUUAAAAUUAAAAGUAUUAAAAAAAUAUAUUAAAAAUUUUAAUUUUAAUUUUUUAUAUAUUAAUAAAUUAUUGUGCGGCGAGGAUUACUCAUUCACAAAAAAUAUAAGUCGCCGAUGCAAGUCUUAAUGCAGGGAGUAACGACAUUUACUUAACCUUGAUUAAUUUAAGGUACGUACGUGCCAAAUUGACUUGACUAAGUUUUUUUGGGACAAGUUGAUUUGACUAAGUUAAUAGUCGUAAGUGAUAACCACCUACGGGUCUUUGGCAUCAGUUGACUUUAAAUUAUUCUUUUGAUUUUUUUGCACUGAAAAAAAAAAACUACUAGCAGUUAAUUAUAGUUUUGGUAAAAAGAAAAAGUAGUUAAUUAAAGUCAACGCUCCUUCUGUUCCUUUAUACUUAUAUAAAUUUUUGUUCAUAUUUACUUGUCAUUUUCAAAUGUUAAUAUAAUACUACUAUUCAUACUAUUGUUAUAUUAAUAAUGUCUUUAGUUAUUUAUUGUAGAGAAAUAAAUUGAUGUAAUAAAAUAUUAUAGAAAGAUGAUAAAUUUAUUCUAUCAAUAGUAAAUAAAUUAUGAGUUGUAUUAGAGUGUGUUAAAUGUCUUAAAACAACAACUAAAAAAGAUGAAGUAUAAUUUUUUUAUUAAUCCUAUGGAUGCAAAGUGAGAACUCAAACUUGUGGAAAAAAAUUUAGAGAGAGUUUUUCGUCAAUUUAAGUCUUACAAGAUUUGAAGAAUUAACUUUUAUAAUUAUAUACAGGAU
This 2390-nucleotide long non-coding RNA is filed under the name Cicer arietinum (chickpea). RNAcentral's name for it is "long non-coding RNA (CARI_LNC003594)". The record is from RNAcentral. Lineage: Eukaryota; Viridiplantae; Streptophyta; Magnoliopsida; Fabales; Fabaceae.